CAUAUCACCCCUUUGUGCAUCACCGCGCGGGUCCCCCCUUUGCAGGGGGGCUCGCGUUUUCACAUAAAACUUGAUACAGUCUAGAAUGUUUGUUUUUGCGGUCACACGCAAUCAAUACAACUUUCAACAACGGAUCUCUUGGCUCUCGCAUCGAUGAAGAACGCAGCGAAAUGCGAUACGUAAUGUGAAUUGCAGAAUUCAGUGAAUCAUCGAAUCUUUGAACGCACCUUGCGCCCCUUGGCAUUCCGAGGGGCACACCCGUUUGAGUGUCGUGAAAUCCUCAAAACCCCUCUUCUUUCAUCGGAAUGGGGAUUUUGGACUUGGAGGUUCAAUGCUUGCUUUUGCUUUCGAAAGCAAGCUCCUCUUAAAUGAAUCAGUGGGGUCCGCUUUGCCGAUCCUUGACGUGAUAAGAUGUUUCUACGUUUUGGAUCUGGCAAUGUUUUCCUCGCUCCUAAUCGUCUCAUUGACAAAGGAUGGUGCUUCGGUCCCUGCCAUAAUAUCUACGUUGGCGGGAGGCUGGACCCACAAAAA
This 531-nucleotide ribosomal RNA is filed under the name Russula cremeirosea. RNAcentral's name for it is "eukaryotic LSU rRNA". The stretch from base 119 to 272 matches the Rfam family "5.8S ribosomal RNA". The record is from RNAcentral. Lineage: Eukaryota; Fungi; Basidiomycota; Agaricomycetes; Russulales; Russulaceae.